RNAcentral lists this ribosomal RNA (497 nucleotides) under uncultured bacterium. Its description in RNAcentral is "partial 16S ribosomal RNA". It matches the Rfam family "Bacterial small subunit ribosomal RNA", at positions 28 to 507 of the family's 1533-position model. The record is from RNAcentral.
GAUGAACGCUGGCGGCGUGCCUAAUACAUGCAAGUCGAGCGAACAGAUGAGGCGCUUGCUCCUCUGACGUUAGCGGCGGACGUGUGAGUAACACGUGGAUAACCUACCUAUAAGACUGGGAUAACUUCGGGAAACCGGAGCUAAUACCGGAUAAUAUAUUGAACCGCAUGGUUCAAUAGUGAAAGACGGUUUUGCUGUCACUUAUAGAUGGAUCCGCGCCGCAUUAGCUAGUUGGUAAGGUAACCGCUUAUCAAGGCAACGAUGCGUAGCCGACCUGACUGGGUGAUACGCCACACUGGAACUGAGACACGGUCCAGACUCCUACGGGAGGCAGCAGUAGGGAAUCUUCCGCAAUGGGCGAAAGCCUGACGGAGCGACGCCGAGUGAGUGAUGAAGGUCUUCGGAUCGUAAAACUCUGUUAUUAGGGAAAAACAAAUGUGUAAGUAACUAUGCACGUCUUGACGGUACCUAAUAAGAAAGCCACGGCUAACUACGUG